UAAUACGGGGGGAGCAAGCGUUGUUCGGAUUUACUGGGCGUAAAGGGCGCGUAGGCGGUCCUGACAAGUCACUUGUGAAAUCUCCGGGCUUAACUCGGAAAGGUCAAGUGAUACUGUCGGACUAGAGUGCAGAAGGGGCAACUGGAAUUCUCGGUGUAGCGGUGAAAUGCGUAGAUAUCGAGAGGAACACCUGCGGCGAAGGCGGGUUGCUGGGCUGACACUGACG
This 226-nucleotide ribosomal RNA is filed under the name uncultured bacterium. Its description in RNAcentral is "partial 16S ribosomal RNA". It matches the Rfam family "Bacterial small subunit ribosomal RNA", at positions 521 to 745 of the family's 1533-position model. The record is from RNAcentral.